AGUCCUGCCCAGUGAACACUAGUUUCAACGGCCGCGGUAUCCUGACCGUGCAAAGGUAGCAUAAUCCCUUGCCUUUUAAUUGGAGGCUAGUAUGAAUGGAUAAACGAGAGAAAAGUUGUCUCGCUUUUAAAACCAUAAGUUAGUCUACAAGUGAAGAAACUUGCAUAAAACUAAAAGACAAGAAGACCCUAUUGAGUUUAACUUAAUGGGUAUACUUGAUUAUUAUAAUAAAAAAGGAAUUUCCCUAAAAGUUUGAUUGGGGCAAUCAAUGACUAAACCCACCGUCAUCAUUAAGCAAGAAUCAGAUCACCAGAUUAUCCGCUUACGCGAAUUAGAAAUAAACUACCAUAGGGAUAACAGACCAAUCUCUUUUGAAAGUUCAAAUCGAAAAGGAGGAGUGGCACCUCGAUGUUGGCUUAGGGACACCUAUAGGUGCAGCCGCUUAUAAGGUUGGUUUGUUCAACCAUUAAAUCCCUACGUGAUCUGAG
This 488-nucleotide ribosomal RNA is filed under the name Oxydromus sp. B ZW-2021. RNAcentral describes it as "partial large subunit ribosomal RNA". It matches the Rfam family "Bacterial large subunit ribosomal RNA", at positions 1855 to 2609 of the family's 2925-position model. Lineage: Eukaryota; Metazoa; Annelida; Polychaeta; Phyllodocida; Hesionidae. The record is from RNAcentral.